UUUCCUUUGAAAUCACGAUCGGCAGGGUAUCCAUGAAGCUUCCAACAAUCCGAUCUUUUAUGACCCGUCUUUCCACAGUAGUCGCAAAGAACCCUAGGUCCUCUCCCUUGCCGCCCGUCUCCUGCAUAAUAUGCCGCAGACUCCAGUUGUUCACUUCUUCCUCCUUGUGUCAUCGACCAGCGCAACUCCUCAUCGGCAACUUGCGCAAAGGCUCUGUUCAGUGUAGGCAGAGGAUCCAUAUUCAGGAUUUGCGAUCUUACCGUUGCAAAAAUUUCGGAGUCCAGACCCAUCAGAAACUGAUGAAGUUUCUCGACUUCCUUAUUCCUAGCCAUCUGGUCUACGGCUCCACAGGUGCAGCCACCGCAAGUACACUCUGCUGUCUCGAGGUUGCAUAUACCUGUUUUAAUCUGCUGAACCCUGGGAGCAUUACCUCGUGCGAAUUGUUGCUCGAUUUCAUCCCACAUCAUCUUGGCAUCAUUGGCAUGCACAACUGCUCCUUGCAAACUCUUAUCGAGCGAGUUGAAAAUCCAUGAACAAAUCAUCGAGUUGUUGAUCUUCCACAACUGGAACUCUGGCCUCGUCGGGUUGGGUUGCUUCAAAGAUCCAUCAAUAAAUCCGGUCUUGUUCUUAGCCUCGAGUGCUCUAAUCGUGGCCUUCGCCCAGGUCUGAUAGUUCUGUCCAUUGAGAACCACAGGGACGAGAGCUGUGCCCGGGUUAUCUGAGUGACUCACAAAAUAGGGUGAAGUCACGUCCAUUGGCUUCUUAUCUGCCAUGGCUCUAUUCUCUUGUCUCUCCUUCUUCAAGGCUCUGAUACCAUAUUAAGUUCGACAAUAGGUCGAACUAGGAUAGAGGAACAACUGGUAAAGAACACAAUCUGUGUAUUAUUCCUCACACUUUUUGUUCAAGUCCAUACGCAUAUAUAUACAUUCUUCCUUUUCAUGUACGAGAAGAAAGACUCAAUAAGGAAAGAUAGUACAAAAGAUGGAAAAGAAUGAUCUAGAAUAAAGAGUACUUGGAAAGAUGAAAUUGUCAUGAUCUCAUUAAAAAUCUUUCCUAAACUAUAUGAAUCCUCAUUAUUGGCCUACGGCAAUAAGCCUCGUUGAUCCUUCGUGCCAUUUCGAUCAACAUUUUCUCACGGUCUGUCCAUCCCGUUGUUCUCUACUUGGCGUCGCUUCUUUCAAACGUUCUAUGAAUUAAUAUAAUCAUUUCUCAAUUGGACUAUUAAUAUUAUUAUUAUUAUUAUUAUUAUUGUUUGUUUAUGCGAGCUUCUAUAGAUAUAUGUACUGUGGAAUCAUUUGCUUCAUUGCAGUGCAUUGAUUAUAAGCCUUUCUUACUUGAUCUCCUUCUCGGGUAGAAUGGUUUUGCAUGGCAGUUUGGGGGUCAUUUUCCAAUCUAGAAUGGGAAUAAAGAAUGACUUCUCUUUGGGUUACAAGUGGGCAUUCAGGAUGGUUUAGAUGUAAUGCCUUAUUUGAGCAAUACGUCGUUAUGUUAUUUGGACAAUUAAGAUUCGUUUGCUAAUGAUGGCUUAUGUUGUUGCAAAUGUCGAUGUAAGGGGGGAACAAGUAACUUGGCGUCUCUUAAUUGGUAAAAUAAAGCUGCAAGCAUUAGCUCUUGGUCACCUUUGUUAUCUAUGUCACAUGAUAACUACCUGCGCUCUUCAACUACUCUCUCUAGGCAAUCGUGUCCUCAUCAACCGAUGGUUUGCAUCAGAGUGAACAUUGUUAGUAGCACACUACAAACAACACUUCUUUGCUAUUGUAACCUUUAGACAGAUCAAGCACAUAAUGACUGGACAUAGAGUGCACGUUAGAGGUGACUCUCUUGCCAGUCCUCAUCUCUUUGAUGUCAAUUUCUAUAUUACGGAUAUUCAAUUUCAUAGUUGUCUUGAAUUUUUAGCCGUUAUGAUCAGCCUUCUGAAUUCAUGUACAGUAUCCAUCAGAUAUAUAUUGAAGUUAAAUAUUGGGAUAUCCAUCAGCCUUC
Punica granatum (pomegranate) is the source of this 1980-nucleotide non-coding RNA. The record is from RefSeq and is a predicted model, not a curated record. Lineage: Eukaryota; Viridiplantae; Streptophyta; Magnoliopsida; Myrtales; Lythraceae.